AAACUAGUGCCUAUAUGGGAUCCUGUUGCUUGCAGGGGGAGGAUUAACCAAUUAAGCCAUCACGCCAACUCCAAAUGUCCAAUUUUUAACAUCAAUCAUACAUGCAAAGAUUCACAUGCAGACACAAUAUAACAAAAUCAUUGAAGAAAAGUAAACCUUGAAAGCUGCAGAUGAGAAAUGGCUCAUUGUGCCUUAAGAUGUCCUCUAAGUUGUUCAGCUGACUUCUCAUCAAGAAUAAUGGCAUGAGAAGGCCUGGGGCUAGCCAGGUAGUGUGGUAUAGCUACUUAAGCCACCACCUGUUAGGCCAGCAUUCCAGAAUGCAGUUCAAGUCCUGGCUGAUGUGUGUGCCUGGGAAGGAGCAGAAGAGAGCCCAGUUUCUUGGGCUCAUGCUAACUGUGAGGGCCAUGCUGUGGUGUAGUGGGUAGAGCUGCUGCUGUGGUACUGGCACCCCAUGUGGGAGCUGCCUAUGUCCCAGCAGCUCCCCUUCCCAGCUAAUGGCCAGGACAAGCAGCAGAGACCCACACGAAGCUCCUGCUUCCUGACUCAGCCUGGGCUGGCCAUAGGUUUUGCAGCCAGUGGGGAGUAAACCGGUGGAUAGAAAAUUAUCUUUUUUCUCCUUUCCUUCCGCUCCUUCUUUGUCUUCUCCCUCUGUUAUUCUUUCAGAUAAAUGAAUAAUUUCUUUUUUAAGUGCUCUACUAACAUAGCCCUCAGCUAACAUCACAGCUAAUGGAAGAAGAUAAAAACGUUCCCACCUGCUAAAGGAGUCAGAGAAUGUGUCUGCUCAGACCACUUCUGUUACACAUUGUAUUGGAGGUUCUGGUAGGAUAAUUACGUAAGAAAAAUGAAAGGUAUCUAGAUUAGAAAAGAAAUAAAGCAAUUUGUAUACACAGAUGACAUGAUUUUGUAUGUGGAAAAAACAGAAGAAUCCAGGAAGUGAAUUCAGCAAAGUUUUAGGACACUAGAUUAGUAUAAUAAAGAGUAUUUCAGUAUAGCAAAAGGUAACAAACCAAAAAUCAUAACACCAAAAUCAUAGCACCAAAAAUAAUAAAAUGCUUAAGAAUUAUAAGGAAGUACAAAACUUAGCACUCUGAAAAUCACAACCCAUCCUUGGGAGGAGACACCUUCCCAACAGAUGAACGGAUGUGGUAUGAUGAGACGCUGUCGGAUGUCACGUGUGCUGUGAUGAGGCGCUGUCGGAUGUCACGUGUGCUGUGAUGAGGCGCUGUCGGAUGUCACGUGUGCUGUGAUGAGACGCUGUUGGAUGUCACGUGUGCUGUGAUGAGGCGCUGUCGGAUGUCACGUGUGCUGUGAUGAGACGCUGUCGGAUGUCACGUGUGCUGUGAUGAGGCGCUGUCGGAUGUCACGUGUGCUGUGAUGAGACGCUGUCGGAUGUCACGUGUGCUGUGAUGAGGCGCUGUCGGAUGUCACGUGUGCUGUGAUGAGGCGCUGUCGGAUGUCACGUGUGCUGUGAUGAGACGCUGUUGGAUGUCACGUGUGCUGUGAUGAGGCACUGUCGGAUGUCACGUGUGCUGUGAUGAGGCGCUGUCGGAUGUCACGUGUGCUGUGAUGAGACGCUGUUGGAUGUCACGUGUGCUGUGAUGAGGCACUGUCGGAUGUCACGUGUGCUGUGAUGAGACCAUGUCGGAUGUCGCGUGUGCUGUGAUGAGGAGACAUUGUCAGAUGUCGCGUGUGCUGUGAUGAGGAGACAUUGUCAGAUGUCGCGUGUGCUGUGAUGAGACGCUGUCGGAUGUCACGUGUGCUGUGAUGAGGAGACGCUGUCGGAUGUCGCGUGUGCUGUGAUGAGGAGACAUUGUCAGAUGUCACGUGUGCUGUGAUGAGACGCUGUCGGAUGUCGCGUGUGCUGUGAUGAGGAGACAUUGUCAGAUGUCACGUGUGCUGUGAUGAGGAGACAUUGUCAGAUGUCACGUGUGCUGUGAUGAGGAGACGCUGUCAGAUGUCGCGUGUGCUGUGAUGAGGAGACAUUGUCAGAUGUCACGUGUGCUGUGAUGAGACGCUGUCGGAUGUCACAUGUGCUAUGAUGAGGAGACGCUGUCAGAUGUCGCGUGUGCUGUGAUGAGACGCUGUUGGAUGUCGCAUGUCGCGUGUGCUGUGAUGAGAUGUUGUCAGAUGUCACGUGUGCUGUGAUGAGACGCUGUUGGAUGUUGUGUGUCGUGUGUGCUGUGAUGAGGAGACACUGUUGAGGUGGCAGUGCUCCUGCAUGUUGACUUACAAGUGAGUCUGUCAGUCCAUCACAGUCCCUACCCAAAGUCCCAGCAAGUUUCUUUGCAGAAAUGAAGCCACUGAUCCUAAAAUUGAUGUAGAGAAAUAAAUGCAAACAAUCUAGAAAAGCCAAGAGUCUUGAAAAAGAAGACCUGUUAACAGAGUUUGUGCUUCCAGAUUUGAAAGCUUGGAACAGCUGCGGUUGCCAAGAGACUUUGUUCCAGGCAUAAGGAUAGCCAAAGAGAUCCCUGGAGUAUGAAAGAGAUUUUCAAAAUAACAUUCACAUGUCUGGCCAGUUGAUGCUCAUAAAGGCACCAAGACCGUUUGGCACAGGAAAAAUAGUCCUUUCACAAAUAAUGCUGGGCCAUUGGAUAACCACAAGCAAAAAGCAAAAUUGGGUCUUCUACCUCACAUUGUUAUCUUUCAAGAAAGACAUAGAACCAAUCUUCAUGUGGUUACAUUUGGUUCUAAUCAUAGGUUAUAUCUUUAGCAUAAACAACCAGAUUAAUAAUAAAUAAAUUAGACUUCAUGGAAGUUGAAACCACUGUACUUAAACAACAACAACAAAACCACUAUCAAGAAAAAAAAAAAAAACACUCCCAGAAUGGGAAAAUGUCUUUGCAAAAAAUGCCUAAUAUGGAUAUUCAAAAUAUAUAGGAAACUCCCUAACUCAGAAAUAGACAACUCAUUUCAAAACGUGGAUGGAAAAUCUGAUUAGAAAUUUCUGCGUAAGAUACAGCAGUGACCAGUACACAUGUUGAAAUUAUGUUCAGCCUCAUUAGCUGUCAGGUAAAUGCAAAUGAAAGCCCCAGUGAGGAUCUGUUUCACACUGGGAUGUUUUUCAUGAAAGAUGUGACAUGUGUUGGCAAGGAGGUGGAGAAGUCAGACCCUCCAUUAUGUGCUAUUGGUGGGCACAUAAGAAGGUGUGACCACUUUUCAAAAAACAGUCUGGCACUUCCUCAAAAGAUUAAGUGCACAACUUCCAUGGCCCUGAAAUUCUACUCCUAGGUAAAAUGAGAAAUGAAAACAAAUUUGCACAAAAGCUUGUUCGUGGCUGUUCAUUGUGGCAUCUUCAUAACAGCCAAAAAUAGGGACACCUCAGAUCUGUCAGCUAAUGACUGGGUCACUGCAUGAGUAGGGUACAUUCAUACAGUGGGGUUUGGCUCAGCAGUGUAAUCUAAGAAUGAGGUGCGUGCUACAUGCUGGAUAAACCCUGAUAACGUGCCAAGUCAGAAAGGCUAGUCGCCAAACACCAUGGGUUUAAUGACCACCUAGAACUGAAAGGUUUGGUCAGAAAUGGGACUUACUGCUAAAUGCAUACAGGAUUUCUUUUGGAGAUGAUUAAAAUGUUCUAAAAUUGAUUGUGGUGGCUGCACAACUCUGUACUUGAUCUUAGCCUAAGGUCCAGAAGCGAUGGCUACCCAGCUCUGAAUAUGCCAGAACCCACUGAAUUGUGGUCAGCUGGGUAGAUUGUAGGAUAUGUGAAUUGUAGCUGUUGGAGUGGGGUGUGGCCAGACUCAGAGUAGUCACCACCUUCGUCAUUGUUAUGGCAGGGAGAAGCACAGGGAGCACAGGCCUCCUGAACCAGCUGGGUUCUCUUCUCAUCCUCCAGUAUAACUUUGUUGCUGAACUCUUGCCUUUGCUUUAAAUAUUAUGUUUCUUUGAAAAACACGUACUCCAGGGAGUAUGUGCGGUCUGGGCUAUCUGGGCUGUGGGAAUUGGUGAUUUGAGGAGUCCGGGCUGCUUGUGUGUGUCUCUGCAUGCACAUUCGUUGUUGAGGUGGGCCUGGGUGCCACACACCGUCUGCCCCUCCACCCUGGCCCUGCCAGAGCCCCUUGAGCUAGGUGAUGAGGAUGCCAGUCAGACAUGCAGCACAGGCAGAUUCUCGCCCAUGGUCCUUCUUUUUGUCCUCACAUAUUAACUGGACAUGAUUGAGUAAUUACAGCUUUUCCCCCCAAGGUAGAAGAAAAUACAUGUGAGCAGGUAGCACUCUGUGCAAAAGUCUAAGUCUUAGUUGCCAUUAAGGGCUUUCAGAUUGAAAACAAGUAGCAAGCAAGCCUCUGCAGUUCCUUGUGUCUUCCAAGUUAUCAUGUUAGAUGUGCGUGUUAGUCUAGUUCCUUGAAUCUUUGCAGUAUUAGCAGUCUGGUGUUGUUGCCACACUGCUGUUUGAAGCACAGUCGCCCAGCUGGAGAAGGGUGGCCAGCCCAGCACUCUGGCCUCAGCAGUGUCCUCCCCUGCCAUGCUGCCUCUCUGACAUGCUUCAUUCAACAGCAUCUCUUCUCCCGGGGUUGUGAUUUUAUACCACCCUUGGAGAUAGCUGGUGAGUACUCCUAUACCUACAUGCUUUCAGCCCUUUCAGGGGCCUCCAGGGCAGCAGGCCCAGGAAGGAGCUUGGAAGGAGUUAGUUAAUACUCAUCUUUUCACCAUCAAGGUGAGGAAACCAAAGGGAAGAUCUUUCCUAAGGCCCCCGACCCUGUGGAAGUCCUCUGAGCAGUGCUCUUUAAGUCACAGGGACCCUGCCAUGAUGGGCCGCCUGAGAAUCAGGUUUCUCUACUCAGUCCUACAGUAACCCUCACCACUGCCCAGAGUGGCCCGGGCCAGGGAGGAGGUGCUUGGGCCAGAGUCUGUCUGCAGUUGUAAUUCCAGGGCCUACAUACUGGUCCCUUGUUCCCCUCCUUCCACCGUGACCUAGAUGACCUGCAGUUUUGUGUCAGCUGAGUAAUAGAGUAAAUGAGAUGGAUUCCCUAAACCUAAGGUAUGAUGCCUGACACAUCCUGUCCCGUCAGUGUGGCUUGUCUGCUGACACUGGGAAUAGUGAAAUGGGGUAAGAAGAUCUGCUAAUUCAUGUAGAUAGUGCAUUCAUCUGGAUCACUAGUGUUAGUUGUGAUUCCUAAUCUGCUUUAGGAAGUUGAAUCUUAGAAUUGCUUCUCGGCCUUUUGGCUAAGAUCAAGUGUA
Long non-coding RNA from Ochotona curzoniae (black-lipped pika), 5175 nucleotides. RefSeq lists it as uncharacterized. The transcript is spliced from 2 exons. The record is from RefSeq and is a predicted model, not a curated record. Lineage: Eukaryota; Metazoa; Chordata; Mammalia; Lagomorpha; Ochotonidae.